Long non-coding RNA from Megalobrama amblycephala (Wuchang bream), 843 nucleotides. RefSeq lists it as uncharacterized. NCBI's taxonomy places the organism in Eukaryota, Metazoa, Chordata, Actinopteri, Cypriniformes, Xenocyprididae. The record is from RefSeq and is a predicted model, not a curated record. The transcript has 2 exons.
UUCAGAAACAUGAGUCAGCAGCGGAUGUUGAAGCCACAGAAACCUCUGCUGUCUCCAAAUCCAGUGUGUGCAAAAGAAAGAAUUGGGAAAGCAAUAGCAAUCUCCAUGAAUAGUGGAGAAAACAUCUGAAGAUCUGCUCACAGUGUAUUACAACACGCAGGCCUGGUUUCACAGACAGGGUUUAGAUUAAGCCUUCAUUCAGUUAGGACAUUUAUUAACUAGGUUUUACAAAUGUGACUUAGACAAAAACAACACUGUGUGCAUCUUGAGGUGAAACAAUGGCAGUGACAUAUUUUAAGAUAAUGUCAGAUCAAGCUGCUUUCAGUUAAAUCCGCUCAAACAUGUAUGGGGGGAUAUUAUUUCAAACACUUGAAGCUGUGUUCAAACUGUCAGUCCAAACCUGAUUUUUAUGCAUAUCCAAUCAUAUAUAUAGUAAGUGUGAACUUGGAAAAAAAAAAGUAAGAGCGCAGCCUUUAUAAUCUAAAAAGCUGAUAUCACUUCAGUUUGGCUCAAUUGAUGUCAGCUUUAUAGAUUAUAAAGGCUGCGCUCUUUGCUUUCUUUCUGUGUAUAACCCAUUUAUAAUAUAAAUUUAAGCUUAUUUUUCAUGUCACUAAGUACACAUCUCAAUUUCAGGAGUGACAACUGUAUUAAAUUGUGGGAUUGAAUCUGUUUGACAGUGAAAACCACAUCAAAAAAGAUCUGUGCAUUAAGUCUUGCUGUGGAAGUGCAAUAAAGCUUCUACUUGUUCUACUAAGUUUUCUUAUUAACUGAACAGUAUUUAAAGGCUACAUACCAAAGUUUUCAUCUAUUUAUUUAUAGUCAUUAAAAGCAUUCAAAUUAAAA